AGCUCCCUCCUGUGGUCGCUGUGGCAGCACAUUGGAACAACACAGAGAAGAUUAGCAUGGCCCCUACUUGAGGAUGACACACAAUUUAAUGGAGCAAUCCACCAAAAA
Molecule: non-coding RNA, 108 nt
Organism: Mustela putorius furo (domestic ferret)
Lineage: Eukaryota; Metazoa; Chordata; Mammalia; Carnivora; Mustelidae
Source: Rfam